Long non-coding RNA from Brassica oleracea var. oleracea, 1273 nucleotides. RefSeq lists it as uncharacterized. The record is from RefSeq and is a predicted model, not a curated record. The transcript is spliced from 6 exons. Lineage: Eukaryota; Viridiplantae; Streptophyta; Magnoliopsida; Brassicales; Brassicaceae.
UCUUCUUUCGUCUUCGAUACCAAAACAUUUCUUCCUUGUUCGUCUGAAACGAAAACGAUCGAGUGGCCAGUUAUUUCUCUGACUCACGUCGACAUGACGAAUUUGUUUCUUUAUCUUCUCUCCCGUGCUCUAUAUUCUCUUCUAAUCUACUGAAACGCUCAGAGUUAGAUCUAUCGCCUUUACCCUCUUCUAAACUCACGAUCUGACAUUGAAUGCGAGUUUACACCCUGAAAGUAUGUGUAUCUACACUAUAUAAAGUCCAGGGGCUGCUCCUCCACCGUGCUGCUCCUACACCGUUCAAGUGAUGUUCCCCAACUGACGUGUAGUUGAUUGAGGCAGUAUUUGAAAGAGAACGUAGCUUUGGAUAUCUGAGCUUCGGGAUGUGACCCAAGCCUGAGGUCAUUGUGAAGGUUCGAUACUUAGCCGAGCUAUGGAGGAGAAUGGUCGCGUGAUUGAAGCCGCCAAUUAACUUACCUGAUAUGCAUGUGAUGCGUCCUCUCAAGUGAUACUAGGCAAGCUGAGCAGAUAAGAAACAACAUGGAGAGUAAUCAUGAAGUCUAUGCUAUGUUAAAAGGUUUGAAUUCUUGGACAUGGUGGUGAUGCACGAAGUGUUAUUGUGGGAACAAGAAAAGAAUGAAGCGAAUGGACAAGAAAAAGAACAAUGCCGAUCAACUCGCUGUGGGUCGCAAAAAGGCCUGGUGUUUUGGCUGGUGAAGCUACUGCGACCAAAGUGACUGAUGUGCGCUCUUUUCCUUAAAAAAACUCAUAUGUAUACAUCUGCAGACGAAGUCAUCAAAUUCUCUUCUCGACUUUAACCAGAAAAUGGGGUCUUCCUUGGUUUCGAGACUGUAAGGAGACACUCACGAGAUUUUCCAUGGUAAGCUUUGUUCAUCUCAAUGAGAGACUUCUGAACGUUUGCAUUUGCAGGUAUAGAGAACACUUUUAAUAAUUGAUCAUGCGUAUAAGAGAUCUAAUUUUCGAAGGAUUUGGCUGCAGCUCUAAAGUACUCGGGAUCCCCACUGGUCUGUAUAGUAACCAUCCAACCCGGCUUUUCUCUUCACUUGAUAUAUUUGCAUGACCGCUUUUAUUAUCCCUGCAUUUGUUGUCAUUUAAUUGGAUACAACUUUUAAGAUUGAACAAUAUCUUCACCUUAUAUUAUAAACAUGGUGGGAAAUGGAUGAACCAAUAGGUUAGGUUUUGUCCACGUAGAAGUGUGGAUUCCUAUGAUUCAAAGUUUCCAUCAAUGUCACUAUGUAACCUUUCAUUGCCUCUA